This 253-nucleotide ribosomal RNA is filed under the name uncultured bacterium. RNAcentral's name for it is "partial 16S ribosomal RNA". It matches the Rfam family "Bacterial small subunit ribosomal RNA", at positions 524 to 776 of the family's 1533-position model. The record is from RNAcentral.
GACGAAGGGGGCUAGCGUUGUUCGGAAUUACUGGGCGUAAAGCGCGUGUAGGCGGUUGUUCAAGUCAGGUGUGAAAGCCUUGAGCUCAACUCAAGAAAUGCACUUGAUACUGGAUGACUGGAGGACCGGAGAGGAUAGUGGAAUUCCCAGUGUAGUGGUGAAAUACGUAGAGAUUGGGAAGAACACCAGUGGCGAAGGCGGCUAUCUGGACGGUUUCUGACGCUAAGACGCGAAAGCGUGGGGAGCAAACAGG